UUUUAUGAUGGUUGACUUUGCGAGAACUAACGGAGCAUUAGUGUCAAGAAUGGGCUGAGAUUCGAAUUCAGUCGGUUUUUCGCUCUUUUUUGACAAAAAGGGAUCAAGAUCGGGACCGUCCAUUUGACUUCACACGGAUCACCAUCUGCUUUCUCUCUCAAUGCUCACACAUCUGACAAAAAGGGAUGCCAAAAGCAGGGAAGUACAAUCUACAGGAAAAAGCAACACUUUACUUUUGUGUGAAAGACAGCUUGCUUGCUGCAGUCUCUAUAAUAUAUCAACACUCUUCCAUACACUGUUUGAAAGACAGCACUGCUUCCUUCAGUCUCUAUAAAUAAUCCAGAGAUAUCUACACUCUACUCACACUUUACAAACUCUCAACUACACUCAACUGAAAUUAAUAUAUCAACUCUUUGCAUUCGGAUCUUGCGUUGUUUCUCGGCUCUCACAUCAAGGUUUUAAAAUUUUUGUCGGCUUUUCACAUCUCCCUCUUGCAUUGUUGUAAGUUCUUUCAAAUAUGACAUAGUGAAAGGAUAAAUUGUUUUUGUAGUUUUGAUUUUACUUUGUUCUGUUAUAUUUUGAUCUUUUCCUUCA
Molecule: long non-coding RNA, 594 nt
Organism: Helianthus annuus (common sunflower)
Lineage: Eukaryota; Viridiplantae; Streptophyta; Magnoliopsida; Asterales; Asteraceae
Exons: 3
Source: RefSeq, a predicted model, not a curated record